GAGCAGCUCAGAUGCCAUGAAUUAAGUGAAGCACAAAAGGGGAAAAGGAGACCCUUUUGAAGAACAAAGGCCUCCCAUUGGGCUGCCAUGUUCUUUUUUUGACCAAAAGCGCACCCUGCUUGGUUUCCAUUGUUGUCCACAUGCCCUGCACAUAAGGUCUUUGUGGAAUUUACUCUUUCUGAUAAAUUUGUAUAGGAGAGAGAUAUGAUGUUAUUCAAG
RNAcentral lists this long non-coding RNA (219 nucleotides) under Ictidomys tridecemlineatus (thirteen-lined ground squirrel). RNAcentral's name for it is "lncRNA (ENSSTOG00000029831.1)". The record is from RNAcentral. Lineage: Eukaryota; Metazoa; Chordata; Mammalia; Rodentia; Sciuridae.